CCUACGGGUGGCUGCAGUGGGGAAUAUUGCACAAUGGGCGCAAGCCUGAUGCAGCCAUGCCGCGUGUGUGAAGAAGGCCUUCGGGUUGUAAAGCACUUUCAGCGGGGAGGAAGGCGUUAAGGUUAAUAACCUUGGCGAUUGACGUUACCCGCAGAAGAAGCACCGGCUAACUCCGUGCCAGCAGCCGCGGUAAUACGGAGGGUGCAAGCGUUAAUCGGAAUUACUGGGCGUAAAGCGCACGCAGGCGGCCUGUCAAGUCGGAUGUGAAAUCCCCGGGCUCAACCUGGGAACUGCGUUCGAAACUGGCAGGCUAGAGUCUUGUAGAGGGGGGUAGAAUUCCAGGUGUAGCGGUGAAAUGCGUAGAGAUCUGGAGGAAUACCGGUGGCGAAGGCGGCCCCCUGGACAAAGACUGACGCUCAGGUGCGAAAGCGUGGGGAGCAAACAGGAUUAGAUACCCGUGUAGUC
RNAcentral lists this ribosomal RNA (465 nucleotides) under uncultured Klebsiella sp. Its description in RNAcentral is "bacterial SSU rRNA". It matches the Rfam family "Bacterial small subunit ribosomal RNA", at positions 338 to 795 of the family's 1533-position model. Lineage: Bacteria; Pseudomonadati; Pseudomonadota; Gammaproteobacteria; Enterobacterales; Enterobacteriaceae. The record is from RNAcentral.